RNAcentral lists this ribosomal RNA (391 nucleotides) under Salmonella enterica subsp. enterica serovar Mikawasima. Its description in RNAcentral is "partial 23S ribosomal RNA". It matches the Rfam family "Bacterial large subunit ribosomal RNA", at positions 163 to 589 of the family's 2925-position model. Lineage: Bacteria; Pseudomonadati; Pseudomonadota; Gammaproteobacteria; Enterobacterales; Enterobacteriaceae. The record is from RNAcentral.
UCCAUAGGUUAAUGAGGCGAACCGGGGGAACUGAAACAUCUAAGUACCCCGAGGAAAAGAAAUCAACCGAGAUUCCCCCAGUAGCGGCGAGCGAACGGGGAGGAGCCCAGAGCCUGAAUCAGCAUGUGUGUUAGUGGAAGCGUCUGGAAAGGCGCGCGAUACAGGGUGACAGCCCCGUACACAAAAGCGCAUGUGCUGUGAGCUCGAUGAGUAGGGCGGGACACGUGGUAUCCUGUCUGAAUAUGGGGGGACCAUCCUCCAAGGCUAAAUACUCCUGACUGACCGAUAGUGAACCAGUACCGUGAGGGAAAGGCGAAAAGAACCCCGGCGAGGGGAGUGAAAAAGAACCUGAAACCGUGUACGUACAAGCAGUGGGAGCCCCACCACCAAA